This 74-nucleotide transfer RNA is filed under the name Sphaerodactylus townsendi. Its description in RNAcentral is "tRNA-Ala". Lineage: Eukaryota; Metazoa; Chordata; Lepidosauria; Squamata; Sphaerodactylidae. The record is from RNAcentral.
GAAGGGCUGUGGCUUCGUGGAAGAGUCUCUCCUUUGCGUUCAGAAGGUCCCAGGUUCAAUCCCUGGGAUCUUCA